This 468-nucleotide ribosomal RNA is filed under the name uncultured bacterium. RNAcentral describes it as "partial 16S ribosomal RNA". It matches the Rfam family "Bacterial small subunit ribosomal RNA", at positions 28 to 507 of the family's 1533-position model. The record is from RNAcentral.
GACGAACGCUGGCGGCGUGCUUAACACAUGCAAGUCGAACGGAAAGGCCCUGCUUUUGUGGGGUGCUCGAGUGGCGAACGGGUGAGUAACACGUGAGUAACCUGCCCUUGGCUUUGGGAUAACUUCAGGAAACUGGGGCUAAUACCGGAUAGGAGCUCCUGCUGCAUGGUGGGGGUUGGAAAGUUUCGGCGGUUGGGGAUGGACUCGCGGCUUAUCAGCUUGUUGGUGGGGUAGUGGCUUACCAAGGCUUUGACGGGUAGCCGGCCUGAGAGGGUGACCGGCCACAUUGGGACUGAGAUACGGCCCAGACUCCUACGGGGGGCAGCAGUGGGGAAUAUUGCACAAUGGGCGGAAGCCUGAUGCAGCAACGCCGCGUGCGGGAUGACGGCCUUCGGGUUGUAAACCGCUUUCGCCUGUGACGAAGCGUGAGUGACGGUAAUGGGUAAAGAAGCACCGGCUAACUACGUG